Long non-coding RNA from Acanthopagrus latus (yellowfin seabream), 372 nucleotides. RefSeq lists it as uncharacterized. NCBI's taxonomy places the organism in Eukaryota, Metazoa, Chordata, Actinopteri, Spariformes, Sparidae. The record is from RefSeq and is a predicted model, not a curated record. The transcript has 3 exons.
CUCUCUUAUUCCACUGUCUCCACUCCUUUCUUCGGCCUGUGGAGUGACCCGACAAACAAAAAAGCUGUUUCAGAUUUCUGAAUGCUGAACAUCCAUAUUUCACAGGAAGCUUCUGGAGGAUUCGUGCCUGUGUCGAGCGUCACCGCGGCCUCCCGCCUCCUCUCAGCCUCGGCUUCCUUAAUCAACAUGGCAGCUGUGUUCCCACUGCUCCCACCUCCCUUCUUCUCCUCUCGUUGUCAUAAUCAUACGCAAGACUGCCAUGACAGCGGAGUGACCCCCGCGCUCACAGAGAGCAAGCGUACGACUGGUUGAAAGCAUUGAUUAUCACGGAGCAGUCCUUGAUGGAGCAGUUGGGCUUGAUGCGUGUAAUUG